Molecule: non-coding RNA, 45 nt
Filed under: Trichobilharzia regenti
Lineage: Eukaryota; Metazoa; Platyhelminthes; Trematoda; Strigeidida; Schistosomatidae
Source: RNAcentral
ACCCUGCUGACGAGUCCCAAACAGGACGAACUGCGCAUCCUAGAU